Molecule: ribosomal RNA, 253 nt
Filed under: uncultured bacterium
Lineage: Bacteria
Description: partial 16S ribosomal RNA
Rfam family: Archaeal small subunit ribosomal RNA
Source: RNAcentral
UACCAGCACCCCGAGUGGUCGGGACGUUUAUUGGGCCUAAAGCAUCCGUAGCCGGUUCUACAAGUCUUCCGUUAAAUCCAACUGCUUAACAGGUGGGCUGCGGAAGAUACUAUAGAGCUAGGAGGCGGGAGAGGCAAGCGGUACUCGAUGGGUAGGGGUAAAAUCCGUUGAUCCAUUGAAGACCACCAGUGGCGAAGGCGGCUUUCUGGACGGUAACUGACGCUGAGACGCGAAAGCGUGGGGAGCAAACAGG